RNAcentral lists this ribosomal RNA (495 nucleotides) under uncultured bacterium. RNAcentral describes it as "partial 16S ribosomal RNA". It matches the Rfam family "Bacterial small subunit ribosomal RNA", at positions 28 to 507 of the family's 1533-position model. The record is from RNAcentral.
GACGAACGCUGGCGGCGUGCCUAAUACAUGCAAGUAGAACGCUGAAGGAGGAGCUUGCUCUUCUGGAUGAGUUGCGAACGGGUGAGUAACGCGUAGGUAACCUGCCUGGUAGCGGGGGAUAACUAUUGGAAACGAUAGCUAAUACCGCAUAAGAGUAGAUGUUGCAUGACAUUUACUUAAAAGGUGCAAUUGCAUCACUACCAGAUGGACCUGCGUUGUAUUAGCUAGUUGGUGGGGUAACGGCUUACCAAGGCGACGAUACAUAGCCGACCGGAGAGGGUGAUCGGCCACACUGGGACUGGGACACGGCCCAGACUCCUACGGGAGGCAGCAGUAGGGAAUCUUCGGCAAUGGACGGAAGUCUGACCGAGCAACGCCGCGUGAGUGAAGAAGGUUUUCGGAUCGUAAAGCUCUGUUGUAAGAGAAGAACGAGUGUGAGAGUGGAAAGUUCACACUGUGACGGUAUCUGACCAGAAAGGGACGGCUAACUACGUG